UCUCAAGUUAUAACACCAGGUCACUUUUUUAAAAACUUUUUAUGUCUCCAAGUACGCCGUAAUUUUCUAUGUAAAUUAGGCGGCCAUUGUCGAAUCUCGGCAAAGAUUUUACCCCAGUGAAAAAGGUUUGUAAUCUACCUUUUCUCAACCUGGAAGAUAUGUUUUGUUCCUAACCAUCUAUAAUCCAUUCUCUAUGAUGUGAAGCCUGGCUGCUGGUCUUCCUUUGGAAAUACACAGUUUGUCAAUCAACAUAGAAACACACAAACUUGAAGGAUUCUCUAGUGAGGGCUUAUGGAAAUGAUCUAUGUCUACUCUCAGAAUGGUGAAAGACUAUCAGAUUAUGCAAAGACUAACAGAAUAUCCUCUCUUGGAACACUGAAACAAGAAAAUCAAACAGGAGAUGGAUGGAGGAUUUAAGAAGCACAUAGAUAAAUAUGAUUUCCAACGAAUUUAACCAGUAUUAUCAUAGACUGUGGUUUACAAGAUGACAAAGUAACAGG
Molecule: long non-coding RNA, 500 nt
Organism: Saccostrea cuccullata (small rock oyster)
Lineage: Eukaryota; Metazoa; Mollusca; Bivalvia; Ostreida; Ostreidae
Exons: 3
Source: RefSeq, a predicted model, not a curated record